AACAAGGUGGCUGAGUCGGAGGCGGUAGAUUGUAAAUCUACUUACAAGUUUAUACUUUCUUGUUA
RNAcentral lists this transfer RNA (65 nucleotides) under Leptodius sanguineus. RNAcentral describes it as "tRNA-Tyr". It matches the Rfam family "tRNA". Rfam says of the family: Transfer RNA (tRNA) molecules are approximately 80 nucleotides in length. The record is from RNAcentral. Lineage: Eukaryota; Metazoa; Arthropoda; Malacostraca; Decapoda; Xanthidae.